UAAAAGCUGCGAUUCCAUUCUCGUAUGAACCCAGGGAUGUCCCUACUACUUACAAUACCGAAACAGGAGCACGGGCCUUACUUGUUUGACUCUCCAUAUGAGCUACCCUUCUCUUAUUCUGAAACUAAUGUCCUCAACCCUUGCUUCACAGCCUAUGAGCUUGUCCGCUCUCCCCCGCCUCACCAUGAUGCUUGGUCUAAUAAUCGAAUUUGCUACCUGACCUAAGACUUAAAGAAGUGUCUCAAUGUUGACCGAAGAAUGUUUUUGUUGUCCGAUCACCCUGCAAUGCACGAGUGAAUGAGCGCGCCUAACCUUCUAUGCACGAACCAUCGAUGCACGACCGAAGUAUCAUGCCAUACCAUCUCAUACCAUAGUACCACAUACUAUAUCAUACCAUAUCAUGCCAUACCAUAUCAUGCCAUACUAGGGAGCGAUGUAUCCCGUUGAAUUGAAUGAGCGAGGCGAGGUACAUUGAUGCCUGGGUGAAUGAUCCGCGUAGUACGUUGUUUCGGCUAGACCAAGCAAUACCUUUGUUUCGCCCGGCCCGAGGAAUCAAUGUUGUUUUGCCCAAGACCUUCGUUGUCCUGUCCCCCGGCCCAUCGACCUGUUUACUGCUAGGUAAGUUGCCCGGCCCCAAGAACAGUAGCUUGCCCGGCCCUUCGAACGUCUGAUUACCCUUCGAUGCACGACCGAACCAACAAUGCACGAGUGCCUUGCCUGGGAUAUCAUAGACUAAUAGACGAUACUAAAGGAAUGAGCGGACAAAACUGCUUUCUUUAUUAAAGACAUCAUUCAUGGACAACGCGUUUGCUUGUGCUCGCGGGGCGAGGUGAUCCGACCCUUAGCUUAUUAUUAGUACUAAUUAAAGUAAGCCAUCCUAUGUACGCGCAACACCAUUAUCAUGACUAUACAAUGUCUCCUGUAUUCUUCAUUGCAUUCUUAUUAACACUUGUUUAGCUCUUUGGCUCUUCCCCUCCUCAGCUACAUUCUUUCACUACCAACUUUCAUUCUGUUAGCUACUUGAUCCGGGUCCUUGCUUAUUGGGUUGACUCUCCCCUGCCACCAUACAUACUAUCAAGCCUAUAUGUAUUUUCUUUCUUUCUUUACUUGAUCUUUUCUUUUAUUUGAUAGUUGUUAGUAUGCCUCUCUCUACUUGCAAACUAAACUAGUUCACAAUAAUACUUGAUCUUCUAGUAUAGAAUGGAAUGAAUAGGUACGAGCCUAGGGCGCAUCUAGGGAGUCAACUUCUUAUGUUUCUUCUAUUGAUCUCGUCUCUAAGACUAGGAUUCAACUUCCACUUGGGACAUUCGAAUUAUGUUGUUGACUUAUAGCUUGCUGUUCACUUGAUAACGGAACUCUCUGAAGCACUACUUGCUGCUGACUUUGGAAUUGAUACUGCAUCUUCUGUUGUUUAUUAUACGGAUAAUUCUAUAGGCGCCGAUACAGAAAAAGAUGAAACUAAUUCACGACGCGCGGAAGAAGAAACUCUCCUAUAAGAAUGAAAGGCAAAAAGAGUCUGGUGACGUGUGACACUCAAGCAGCUAUAAGAUACCACGGAAGUAAAGGCAAAGAAUCAAGCAUAGAAUAUUCGAAUAAAGGAUAUGGGUAUGACCUAGCACAUUACGACCUAGCACAUUACGAUAUAUGAAUUAGUAUUAGGCAUAAGAAAAAGAAUAUGGAUAUGUAUUUUCAAUAGCAAAUAGGGACUCAGGGUAUCCUGAUUAAAGAGUUCAAUUACUACGUUUAGAGGUUUAUUCCCAUCGUAAGGAGCCUAGUCCUGGUGUUGGUAUGUUUAUUCCUCGGAUUAAUAAGUAAAUGACUUGGAUUACUAACUGGCUAUUCUUCUCUCGUGGACGUCAAGCCCAUGUCCUGUGUUCAUUGCCUCUGGCAACUAUCUGAUAUAAUACCUCGGGCAACUCUCACUAUGGCAACUCUACCUUAAUCCGGCUAAUCUACUAAUAUUCCAUUCCAUUCUUAUGUCAAAUAAGGGGUUUCCUCGGUUUCCUAUCAGUCAUGGAGACUCCUUUUACAGGGGAGAUACCUUUUCUGGUAGGGAGGAAUCAUUUCCAGGGGCAACAAC
This 2080-nucleotide long non-coding RNA is filed under the name Musa acuminata (dwarf banana). Its description in RNAcentral is "long non-coding RNA (MACU_LNC009005)". The record is from RNAcentral. Lineage: Eukaryota; Viridiplantae; Streptophyta; Magnoliopsida; Zingiberales; Musaceae.